GAUGAACGCUGGCGGCGUGCCUAAUACAUGCAAGUCGAGCGAACGGACGAGAAGCUUGCUUCUCUGAUGUUAGCGGCGGACGGGUGAGUAACACGUGGAUAACCUACCUAUAAGACUGGGAUAACUUCGGGAAACCGGAGCUAAUACCGGAUAAUAUUUUGAACCGCAUGGUUCAAAAGUGAAAGACGGUCUUGCUGUCACUUAUAGAUGGAUCCGCGCUGCAUUAGCUAGUUGGUAAGGUAACGGCUUACCAAGGCAACGAUGCAUAGCCGACCUGAGAGGGGGACGGGCACACUGGGACCGGAGCACCGGUCCACACCCCUAGGGGGGGCAGCAGGGGGAAAUUUGCCGCAAGGGGCGAAAGCCUGACGGACAAACCCCGGGGGGGGGAUGAAGGGUUUCGGAUCGUAAAACCUUUUUUUUAGGGAAAAACAUAUGUGUAAGUAACGGGGCCAUUUUUGACGGAACCAAAUAAAAAAGCCCCGCCUAACUACGG
Molecule: ribosomal RNA, 496 nt
Filed under: uncultured bacterium
Lineage: Bacteria
Description: partial 16S ribosomal RNA
Rfam family: Bacterial small subunit ribosomal RNA
Source: RNAcentral